GAAGGUGGAGAGCGGGCUGCUGCCGUUGCUCGGCCGCGCGGCGGAUGCCGGGGGUUGCGUCGACCUGCAGGACGUGUUCUUGCGGCUGACCUUCGACACGACGACCAGACUGGUCUUCGGGGUCGACCCCGGCUGCCUGUCUGCCGGGCUGCCGACCGUGCCGUUCGCGAAGGCCGUGGACGACGCCAUGGCCGCGCUCUUCCUCCGCCACAUAGUGCCUGCAGCCUGGUGGAAGGCGAUGCGGCGGCUGGGAGUAGGACCGGAGAAGAAACUUGCCGCGGCCCGCAUAGUCAUGGACCGGUUCAUCGCCAAAACCAUCGAGGAAAAGAAGCAAGCUUAUGCGAAGAGGGAAUCAGAUGACGAAGAAUCCGACUUAUUAUCAGCGUACAUAGAAGAAAAGGAGCUUGACUCCUCCUCCACAUCCGAUGACGAAAAGUUUCUCCGAGACACCGCGAUGAACUUCAUGCUCGCAGGGCGCGACACGACAGGCUCCGGCCUCUCCUGGUUCUUCUGGCUCCUCUCCAAGAAUCCGCGCGUAGAAGAGAAGCUCCUCCAGGAACUGAACACGCUUUCGCCCCCCCAAAAAGGUGAACUCGCCGUCUUCGACUCCGAAGAGCUUGGUAAGUUGGUCUACCUCCACGCCGCCUUAUGCGAAUCGCUCCGCCUCUUCCCGCCGGUCCCCGUAGAGCACAAAGGAAUUCUCGAACGUGACAUUCUCCCCAGCGGCAUCGAGGUAAACCCUAGCAUGAAGAUACUUGUGUCGUUGUACGUGAUGGCGAGGAGGGAGGAGGUGUGGGGGAAGGACUGCAUGGAGUUUAGACCGGAGAGGUGGAUAUCGGAGAAGGGGAAGGUGCGAUACGAGCCAUCGUAUAGAUUCUUAUCGUUCAACUCGGGGCCGAGGACGUGCUUGGGGAAGGACAUGGCGUUUACGCAGAUGAAGGCAGUGGCGGCCGCCGCCAUCUACAACUUCCGCAUCGAGGCCGUCGAAGGGUUCGUUGCGGAGCCCAAUUUCUCCAUUAUUCUGCAUAUGAAGAAUGGUCUAAUGGUUAGGGUUAGGAGGAGGGGAAGUGAAUGAGGAGGGUGAAGAUGACAAGGGACGAUUGGUGCAUAUUUUCGUAGUAUGUUAUAUUGUUACGUUGCCUACUGCUAUGUGAAGCUAUUGCAUGUACGUAGCUACCUAAGGUGUAGUUUGGAAUGAUAUUAAGAUCUAUUGGAUAUUAAGUACCAUAUAAAAAUAUAAUGUCUUUAGGCAAAAUAAAACUGACAUGAACACAUAUAGAAAAACACUUCACAGUUUUAUGAUGGAGUUGUUGAAACUUUUACUAUAACUAACGCAUCAUGAUAUGACAUAUUUUUUUAAGGGGCAAUUGCUUAUAUACUUUUGAAAAAUUUUCAACUUUUUGAUUUAUCCCUCUUAAAAGGAUAAUAUUGAAAAUGCCCUUUUUACGUUCCAAUCUAUUUCUAAUAUACCCUAGAGUUAAUAUCUGUUAAUGAACUCUAUUAUCUCUAUGAAAUUACUAUUUUGUCAUUUCAAAUAUACCCUUCUACCGAUUUUUCUUAUUUGUUCUUAAGUUAGGAAUACAAAAAGUAUUUUACUUUUUGGUCUUUUCAAAUAUACUCUUUUACCAUAACCAACAUUUCUUAUUUGCCCUUAAGUUAAUAGCAAAAGUGGUAUUUUAUUUUUUUUUUAACUAUGAUAGAUAUUUAACUCACGUUUAACCCAAGUUAAUUUAACGGGUGGUAACUAUAGAGAUAUUUUGGAAUAACGGAGGAACAUAUGAGGGGUAUAUUGGAAAGAAAAAAAAAUAAGGGUAAAUGAGAUAUUUUUGAAGUUUUGAGAGGUAUAUAGGCAAUUAUCUAUUUUUUAAAAAUUUAACAAUACUUAAAAAUAUUUCGAUAUGAUUUAGCGUUACAUUUGAGAGCGUCGGUUAAAACGUCGGCAAAUAAAAAGUGACCACGUAAUUGCUUUAAAGUGUGAGAAUUUUUUUGAAAUCCAGACGCCUUAAAACAUAGGACAAUUAAAAAUAAUAGGAAACUUUAUCAUUUAACAAAUUGGUUUGAUACAAUGGAUUUAAAUGAUGAUAUUUUAUGAAUCGUCAAUAUUUACUAUAUUGUAAGGACACUUGGAAUAUUUUUCUCAAGCACUAUCUAAAAAGUGUUCUUAUAUUGAGGUUUUUUUUUGUGUCCAUAACAUAAUAUUACAUACGAAAAUAAACAGAGCAUGUUUCAAUCAUAUUGCAUGCAUGAAUAAGCAGAAUAAUUUUUAAUCAUAUUUUUUUAACCACAUAUAAGAUCAUUUCUCCACAAUUGCAAACAUUUAAUUUCCACAAUUUUAUCCAUAACUGGGGAGUAUUUUUCUAUAUACUUAGGCCCCAACCCUUUUGUUUUUCCUCCACCAGAAAACAUUGUGUUGUCACGUUAUAUGAGUACAUACCACAUGUAGCAAAAAAAUAUAUCUUCAUUUGUUUCCCUUUUUUUAUAAAAAAAUAAAGUUUGCCUAAUAUAUAAAUAUAUAUAUACAUCAAUAAGUGCAAACACACCCUUAAUCUGAAAGAGGUAUUAAUUGCGAACGUUUUUAAUAAACAAUCUAUGAAUAGUCAUUGUCAGAGUCUUAUAGAAAAUGGAACAUAUCAUUAAUACCUAAUAGGAACAUAUUAUUAGUAAUUAAUGGUUGCACAAUAAUUGCAAUUAAGUUGAUUAGUUUCGAAAAGCAUGGUUAGCCUCUUAAAUUAGAACUCUUAGGGAUAUGACAAUUAUUGCUUAGACCAGCUGUUAUGUAGAUUAUGCUCCGGAGCUAUUCCGAUUCCGAUUCGAGCUUAUUUCGAUUCCGAUAUUCUGAUUCCAAUUCCAACUUCGAACCAAACACGCCCUUAGUUUAAAUACUAAAACUUCUGAAUUUUUACAAGUUCAUUUUAUUUCUUGGCAAUUUUAAAUCAUGGAAUAUGAAAUAAUAUUUAAUUAUAUUUAAAAUAAACUGAAAUAAGUAAAUUAUUCGGCAUGGAAGGGUAAAUUAUCGAUCAUGUUAUAAGAAAAUUAUUACGAUUUACCUCUUUCUUUUUUUCUUUACGUUCACAUAGUAAGGUGGUUGAAUUGAAAGUAAAGAGAAUUAAUUGUAACAUGAGAAUAGUACAUAAGCCAGUCAUAUAUUUUACUCUAUGUUUUUUAAAAAUUUAACAAUACUUAAAAAUAUUUCGAUAUGAUUUAGCGUUACAUUUGAGAGCGUCGGUUAAAACGUCGGCAAAUAAAAAGUGACCACGUAAUUGCUUUAAAGUGUGAGAAUUUUUUUGAAAUCCAGACGCCUUAAAACAUAGGACAAUUAAAAAUAAUAGGAAACUUUAUCAUUUAACAAAUUGGUUUGAUACAAUGGAUUUAAAUGAUGAUAUUUUAUGAAUCGUCAAUAUUUACUAUAUUGUAAGGACACUUGGAAUAUUUUUCUCAAGCACUAUCUAAAAAGUGUUCUUAUAUUGAGGUUUUUUUUUGUGUCCAUAACAUAAUAUUACAUACGAAAAUAAACAGAGCAUGUUUCAAUCAUAUUGCAUGCAUGAAUAAGCAGAAUAAUUUUUAAUCAUAUUUUUUUAACCACAUAUAAGAUCAUUUCUCCACAAUUGCAAACAUUUAAUUUCCACAAUUUUAUCCAUAACUGGGGAGUAUUUUUCUAUAUACUUAGGCCCCAACCCUUUUGUUUUUCCUCCACCAGAAAACAUUGUGUUGUCACGUUAUAUGAGUACAUACCACAUGUAGCAAAAAAAUAUAUCUUCAUUUGUUUCCCUUUUUUUAUAAAAAAAUAAAGUUUGCCUAAUAUAUAAAUAUAUAUAUACAUCAAUAAGUGCAAACACACCCUUAAUCUGAAAGAGGUAUUAAUUGCGAACGUUUUUAAUAAACAAUCUAUGAAUAGUCAUUGUCAGAGUCUUAUAGAAAAUGGAACAUAUCAUUAAUACCUAAUAGGAACAUAUUAUUAGUAAUUAAUGGUUGCACAAUAAUUGCAAUUAAGUUGAUUAGUUUCGAAAAGCAUGGUUAGCCUCUUAAAUUAGAACUCUUAGGGAUAUGACAAUUAUUGCUUAGACCAGCUGUUAUGUAGAUUAUGCUCCGGAGCUAUUCCGAUUCCGAUUCGAGCUUAUUUCGAUUCCGAUAUUCUGAUUCCAAUUCCAACUUCGAACCAAACACGCCCUUAGUUUAAAUACUAAAACUUCUGAAUUUUUACAAGUUCAUUUUAUUUCUUGGCAAUUUUAAAUCAUGGAAUAUGAAAUAAUAUUUAAUUAUAUUUAAAAUAAACUGAAAUAAGUAAAUUAUUCGGCAUGGAAGGGUAAAUUAUCGAUCAUGUUAUAAGAAAAUUAUUACGAUUUACCUCUUUCUUUUUUUCUUUACGUUCACAUAGUAAGGUGGUUGAAUUGAAAGUAAAGAGAAUUAAUUGUAACAUGAGAAUAGUACAUAAGCCAGUCAUAUAUUUUACUCUAUGUUUUUUAAAAAUUUAUGAGGAUUUAUUGUCAGCAUCUUUUUUUGCUGUCAAUUUAAUUUUAUACUUUUAAUUUAAUAAUUUAAUUUACUUUAGCUAUUAAAAUAAGAAAAAAGAGUAGCGCUUUCGCUGCCGUUCAUUCUCUCCUCUUCAAUGACUAAGAUUUAAUUUUUUUUAAAUUGUAACUUGCACUUUGAGAGAAAUACCAGUUAUCAGGUACCUCAAAAAAUAGUAUUUUUGUCUUUUAAUAUGAUUAAUUUAGUAAUUUUACCUUUACUAUAUUAUCAAAAUUUUUAUUCUCACUUUGUUUCCUUUUUCUUUCUCUUUUUUUACUUACAAAUUCAAUUUGUAAAGAACUAAAAUUUAAAAUAUCGACUAAAAACUAAAAAAAUUUAAUGGCAAAAUCAAAAUCAAUUUAAUAAAUUAAAUUAAUUAGACUGAUUAAAUUGAUAAAAUAUAUAAAUAGCUUAGAUUUGUUCAAUAUAAAUUUAUUUAAUUUAUCUAUAUUUAUAAUUUUAUUUACUCUAGUAAAACUCUAUGAUGGAGAUUUAUUAUAAGAUUAAAAUUUAAAUUAUACAGUCUAAAUUUAUUUAUUAGUAAGUUUAAAUUGCACUAUAUUAUUUAGAUUUAUUGGAGGUUUCUGUAUACUUUUUAGCUUCUAAACUUCAAAUUUAAUUUGUUUUCAACUUAUAUUUUAAAUUCCUAUACAUGAUCUUAUUAUUUUAAAAGUUCAAUUUUUACUAUUAAAAUUUGAAUUAAUUUUGCCCAUACAAUUCUAUUCUAAAAAUAAAUUUGCAUUAUACCUAAAUUUCUAAUCAAUUAUCCACAUUAAAUUUUUUAAAUAGUGAUAAAAUAUUAAUAUCUAAAUUAAAAAAAUCUUAAUUUUUUUCAAUUUAUUAAAUAUGUUGAAUUUAAAUAUUUGCCCACAUUCAAUUUUAUAAAAUUAGUAAUACAAAAUUAAUAUCUAAACAAGACGAAUUCAUAAUUGUGUUAAACAUAUUAAAUAUGUUAAAUUUAAGUAUUUACCAACAUUACAAAUUUUUUUAAAUAGUGAUACAAAAUAUUAAUGUCUAAAGUAGAACAAUUCUAAAAUUUUUUUAACAUAUUAAAUACAUUUAAUUUAUAACUUUUUACCUACAUUUAAAUUUUUUUAAAUAAGUGAUACAAAAUUAAUGUUUAAACUGUAGAAAUUUAAAAGUUUCUUAAAUAUAUUAAUAUGUUGAAUUAAAAUAUUUACCAACAUUACAAAUUUGUAAAAUAGUAAUACAAAAUUCCUCUAACUUAAAUUUAAAUUUUUAAUAUUUAAUAUUUAAUAUUUAAUAUUUAAAUUCAACCUAUUUAGAAAUAGAAUUAUUUCUAAAAUUCUUAUAAUUUAAAUUAAUGCCUAAAUUUGAGAAUUUCUAAAAUAAAUGCCUAAAUUAAUGCCUAAAUUUGGGUAAUCAAUCAAUUCCUCAAGUUAGUGCAAAUUAAUGCGUAAAUUUAGAAUAUCAAUUAGAAUUUUCUUUAAAUGUUGCAUAGUUUAAUUACAAAAAUAAUCUCGAAUGAAGUAAUUUUUUUANAUAUAUAUAUAUAUAUAUAUAUAUAAUUUUAAUUUUUAAUAACAAGUACUAAAUUGAUUGAAUUCUACUUGGAAACAAACAAGCGAGCUCCAUCAAAAUCAAUCAAUCUCAAAUUAAGACAAGUAUAUGAAAGUUACAUCUUACCAAAAUAUAUGAACAAUUAUUGUACUAUAUGUCAAUUUCGAAUCUUUAUUUAGAUAUGUAACCUUUUCAACUUUUUCUUACAAAAUCUUUUUCAAAUUGACUUAGAAUUAGUCAGUAAUUUCAAAGAGUAAAGAGAUAAAAUAUUAUUUAUAAAAAAACUAUUUUUUAAUGUUUAUAAAUUAGAAGCAUAAUAUAUAUCUUAAAAAUGUAAUGCAAUAACCAUUUUGAAAUUUUGGAAUUGUAUUAGGACCAUCCUUUUUUUUAACCUAUAGGUUGAUUCAAAAUUUGUGAACCCAGUAAAAUUUAUCUUGAGCAUUUAUUAAACAAUUUCUUCUUUCAAGAAAGUAUACAUUUCAUGAAUUUUUGUUUAAACCUAUAUUCUGUUUUUUUUAAAAAAAAUAUUUUUACAGAAUUUUUAGAAAGGCUAAUGUUGACCCUCCGUUGGCGGCUGUUAAGAUUUAGCAGUUGCUCCCACCCAGUAGGAGAAGUUGCUCUCAUCUAAACGUCAUCUUUUUUUUUUUCUUUCUUUUUGUUUUGGUUUUGAUUGAGGUUUACUACCUAAUUUCUGAUACUUAAUUCAUCGUUCUAAUAAAUAAAAUAGGUAGCGUACUUAAUUCAUCUUUUUAAUAAAUAAAAUAGGUAGUGUAUUAUCCUUAUCUAAAAAAAAAGUAAAAAAAAUAUUUCAGCAAUUGGUUGUGUAACUAAAUUGAAAUUAGGAUUCAAUAAGCUAGAAUUUUUAUUUAGAUUAAGAUCAAGAAUUAUUGUGCCACUGAUACGGGACCUGCUGGUAUGAUAUGGGAAAGGUACGGCGCACCGAUAAAUGUCCGGGCGCGCCAGUACCUACAACAUGGAGGCUAUGAGUCUUGAGGUAUUUAGAUACUAAGGCUUCGUUUGGUUCGGGGUUAAGUAAAAAUUAAUUAUUUCAGGGAUAGAGUUAAGUUUAAGAUUACGGUGGGGUUAGAGUAAUUUUGUGUUUGGUUGAUAAUUGAAUUUAGUACAUAUAUAAGCAAAAUGGUGUUUGGUUAGAAUUAGUAGAAUAAGAAUGAUAGUGGAUAGUUAUACAUAGAAAAUAAUAAUAUUGCCCCAAUUAUUAUAUUUGAAUUUAAAUUUAAAAAUUAAAUAAUUAAAAAUAAUAAUUUAAAACUUAAAAUUUAAAAUUAUUUUAAAUCUCAAAUUUAAAAAUUUAAAGUUACAAAUAUAAAAUGUCAAAUUUAAAAUUUAAAUAAUUAAAAAUAAUAAUUUAAAAUUCAAAUUUAAAAUUUAAAAUUUAUAUUUAUAUUUUUAAAUCUCAAAUUUAAAGUUACAAAUAUAAAAUAUCAAAUUUAAAUUUUAAAUAAUUAAAAAAAAUAAUUUAAAGUUUUAAAUUUAAAAUUUUUAAUUUUUAAAAAUAAAUAUUAUUUUUAAAUUUUUAAAUNNNNNNNNNNNNNNNNNNNNNNUUAAAAUUUAUAUUUAUAUUUAAAAAUUAAAUAGGGGUGGGAUUAACUUAAUCCCACCCCUAUUCCUUGGGAGGGUUGGGGUUAGCUAACCCGGUUAUGGGGUUAGCUAACCCCAUAACCGGGUUAGCUAACCCCAACCCCCCAAAUUCUUGUUUAGGAAUUAGGAUUAAAAGGGGGAUAACCUUCUUAUCCCCCUUUAACCCCGAAUCAAACGGUGUGUUAAACUUUAAAAUGUUAUAAUAUAUGAGUCGAAUUUUUUAAAUUAGUACAAUCAGAUCUCGUAAUAUAUUUAAUUGACUGAAUAUUAAAAAUAUCGCUUAUGUAAAAGUGGAAUCGUAGUAUUGUAAAUAAUAACGCAAUAAUAAUUAAAAUGUUGACUAUAUUGUUUUUACAACAGCGACGGUUAAUAUUAAGUAAGCUAAAUUAAAUUGUAAGACUUGACUAAAAUAUAUUAUGUUAUAUUAAAAUUUAAUAAUUAAAAUGUUAAAGUUUUAUAGUUUUGAGGACAAAGCGUAUAAUUUAACUAUUAACCAUUUUUAAUUGAAAAACUUUUGACUGAGAUGCACAAAUAAAACUGCCAAAGAGUGCAAUGUAAAACCCUACUCCUUAUUAUAUAUAUAUUUAUAUAUCUUAUCCAAAUAGAUGUACUCCCUUAUCACUUCUCAUCACUGUUAGAUACCCUUCACAAAGUCCCAUUCAAUGGCUUUCCCAUGUGCACCUUCUCUUCAAUCUCUAUUGAAGUACUCAUGUCCAGAGUUCCUCUUCUCUGUUUCCUUCUUUCUUCUUUUCCUCUUGUAUCGCCGCUGCUUGCACCAGACUAAAAAUGGAAAACCGUCGAACGUUCCGACGAACUGGCCGGUCGUUGGCAUGCUCCCGGGGCUCCUCGCGAACCUCUACCACUUCCACGACUGGGUCGCAGCGAUCCUCCGGGAGACGGGGGGCGACUUCUUCUGCUCCGGGCCGUGGCUCUCCAGCAUGGCGUUCUUCGCGACCGCCGACCCUGCGACGGUGCAGCACGUCUUCACCGCCAACUUCGCCAACUACCCCAAGGGCGACGAGUUCGCGGAGAUCUUCGACGUGCUCGGCGGCGGCAUCUUCAACGCCGACGGCGAAUCUUGGCGGGUCCAGCGGGGCCGGGCCCAGCUCCUGAUGGCCCACCAGAGGUUCCGCGGUUACGUCGCGAGGUGCAGCCGCGAGAAGGUGGAGAGCGGGCUGCUGCCGUUGCUCGGCCGCGCGGCGGAUGCCGGGGAUGUCGUCGACCUGCAGGACGUGUUCUUGAGGCUGACUUUCGAUACGACGACCAGACUGGUCUUCGGGGUCGACCCCGGCUGCCUGUCCGCCGGGCUGCGGACCGUGCCGUUCGCGAAGGCCAUGGACGACGCCAUGGCCACGCUCUUCCUCCGCCACACGAUGCCCGCGAC
This 9013-nucleotide long non-coding RNA is filed under the name Ananas comosus (pineapple). RNAcentral's name for it is "long non-coding RNA (ACOM_LNC012989)". The record is from RNAcentral. Lineage: Eukaryota; Viridiplantae; Streptophyta; Magnoliopsida; Poales; Bromeliaceae.